CCCAAGAAACCUUACUGUCAAGAGUUUUAGUAAUCAUUCCUGAAUUCUUUUACCAGCACCUAGGUCUAUUGAACCUUAAUUAGCACUUCGUAAUGUGGAAACAGUCUGAGCCAACCUAGACAUAGAAACACUCAAAGGAAUUUUAGAAGAAUUUUUAAUUUUAAAAUUAUUCUCUUUCCCAUGCGUAAUUUUGUUUAUUUUCCUUGUAGCACGAAAGCCCCCAUUUUUACUCCCUAAUAUUUUCCUCGAACUCCGAAUUUUAUUAACACCCAAAGCUGAAACAGUGGCCCCCCUCAAUUGAGCACCAUUAGCUGAAUCUUUCUCUUUGAACGAUACAACAAUAUGUCUGAUGAGGUUUAAACCACCAGGGGAAUGACCUACCUGUACUGCAACCGGCUCUGACAACGAAGAAGUUGACUCGGAUGAAAGAGAGGGGCCACCAUCUUCACUCACCUCCUGACCUACAAAAAACGGAUUAAAGCAAGAAACAGUCGCUGUUGUUGAAUUGGAAUGGUUAGUGGAAGCUUUAAAAAUCUUAGCACCAAUCGAAACUUUAAAA
Molecule: long non-coding RNA, 559 nt
Filed under: Gossypium barbadense (sea-island cotton)
Lineage: Eukaryota; Viridiplantae; Streptophyta; Magnoliopsida; Malvales; Malvaceae
Description: long non-coding RNA (GBAR_LNC018521)
Source: RNAcentral